Molecule: transfer RNA, 71 nt
Filed under: Opisthocomus hoazin
Lineage: Eukaryota; Metazoa; Chordata; Aves; Opisthocomiformes; Opisthocomidae
Rfam family: tRNA
About the family: Transfer RNA (tRNA) molecules are approximately 80 nucleotides in length.
Source: Rfam by way of RNAcentral
UAGAAAAUAAUGUAAGGGGAGCAUAGAGAGUUUUGAUCUGUUUUGUGUAGGUUCAAUUCCUACUUUUCUAA